RNAcentral lists this ribosomal RNA (475 nucleotides) under Staphylococcus aureus. RNAcentral's name for it is "partial 23S ribosomal RNA". It matches the Rfam family "Bacterial large subunit ribosomal RNA", at positions 1586 to 2062 of the family's 2925-position model. Lineage: Bacteria; Bacillati; Bacillota; Bacilli; Caryophanales; Staphylococcaceae. The record is from RNAcentral.
UCGAGUCGUUGAUUUCACACUGCCGAGAAAAGCCUCUAGAUAGAAAAUAGGUGCCCGUACCGCAAACCGACACAGGUAGUCAAGAUGAGAAUUCUAAGGUGAGCGAGCGAACUCUCGUUAAGGAACUCGGCAAAAUGACCCCGUAACUUCGGGAGAAGGGGUGCUCUUUAGGGUUAACGCCCAGAAGAGCCGCAGUGAAUAGGCCCAAGCGACUGUUUAUCAAAAACACAGGUCUCUGCUAAACCGUAAGGUGAUGUAUAGGGGCUGACGCCUGCCCGGUGCUGGAAGGUUAAGAGGAGUGGUUAGCUUCUGCGAAGCUACGAAUCGAAGCCCCAGUAAACGGCGGCCGUAACUAUAACGGUCCUAAGGUAGCGAAAUUCCUUGUCGGGUAAGUUCCGACCCGCACGAAAGGCGUAACGAUUUGGGCACUGUCUCAACGAGAGACUCGGUGAAAUCAUAGUACCUGUGAAGAUGC